UUUAAGUUUUGUGCAUAUUUAGCUAAAGACUGAUACAACAAGUACCUAUUACACUUGAUAACUGAUGCUUAUUUUGUUGCGUUUCUGAUUGAAACCCCAAUUAAUGACAAGUGCAAACAAAAGUGUAGCUGUAUGAAGAAUUGAGAACAGUAAAUUGAGCUGAUACAGAUAAGUUUCAUAAAUAUAUUUUCCUGAGACGAACAAUGCAAUACAGCUCAGUCACUGAUCGACACUCGCUGCCUUCAAUCACUGAUAGCGAUGCGUAUGUUUCAACUUUUAUUCACUGUUCUGACAGUGAGUGUUAUUUUUGUUGCGUUACAAACGAUGGUGGUUUCCGGAGCAAGAGUUUGCCCAGGUGCAAAUGAAAUCUACUCUAGGUGCGGAUCAGAUUGCAUAGAAACUUGUCAAAAUUACAAUCAACCAUUGGCGUGUAAUGAUAUGUGCGUUUUCGGCUGUUUCUGUAAACAAGGUUACGUGCGAAAUAAUCGGAAUAAAUGCGUAGCAAUUAGCGAAUGCUAGUUGUUGGCGAACAAUUCGCAGAGUCAUACGAGAACACGUUUAUAAUAAA
Wyeomyia smithii (pitcher-plant mosquito) is the source of this 568-nucleotide long non-coding RNA. RefSeq lists it as uncharacterized. Lineage: Eukaryota; Metazoa; Arthropoda; Insecta; Diptera; Culicidae. The record is from RefSeq and is a predicted model, not a curated record. The transcript is spliced from 2 exons.